AUCUUUUUGCAGUUCAUAAGGGUGAUGACUGGGUUUUUGCCAUUCAUAAGGGUGAUGACAUGUGUCUGUAUGAGUUGUGCCUCCCUCAAAUCUUGUUGCAAUGUCAGCAUGUUAAGCAUCUGACA
Molecule: small nucleolar RNA, 125 nt
Filed under: Otolemur garnettii (small-eared galago)
Lineage: Eukaryota; Metazoa; Chordata; Mammalia; Primates; Galagidae
Description: Small nucleolar RNA U13
Rfam family: Small nucleolar RNA U13
Source: Rfam by way of RNAcentral